Molecule: long non-coding RNA, 679 nt
Filed under: Rhinopithecus bieti (black snub-nosed monkey)
Lineage: Eukaryota; Metazoa; Chordata; Mammalia; Primates; Cercopithecidae
Description: lncRNA (ENSRBIG00000046263.1)
Source: RNAcentral
CUGUGAACCUCAGGACUGAACUAAGAUAGCCAAUCAGCACCUGGAGAGCCAAAGGCAUGGGACAGAAUUGAAGACCCCAAAACCAACUCACCAUGUUUCUGGUCAGCAUGACCCUGGGCCACAUGGCCCUCGGGUGUGGUCUCUGAGCCAUUCUGGGUAUUCUAAAUGCACCAGAGUGCCACUUGGAUAUCUUUAUUUUGCAGUAGAUGCUUCUGGUUGUUGUAUAAUCAAGAUGAGAACAUUUUACUCAGGCAAUGCCUCUAGGAUCAAAGCCACCGUUUUAAUAACUCCCUGGCCACUCUGAUCAUUUUUGAAGAAAAUAAUUGCACAAUUCCCAGGAAAAAAAAUCCUUGAGAAAUCGUGUCACUGGGUACAACCUUGGUCAAGUCGUGUGAGGCUGACUCAGGAAACGCCGGGGCCAGGGGUGUUCGCGCUCAGCCAGACAUGAGGGCAACAGUGUCUCCUUAUAGAUUCACACUUGUAAAAUCGCGUUAGAAGCAGUCGGUCUUUACGUGGUGUUUAACUUACUCUGCUUUAAGAUGUCAUUGACAAGAUGUGAGUAUUGCUGUAAUUUGGAACAGUGACUCUGGAGAAGAGAGCGUAAUUCACACUGCACGUACUCCGACCCUGGCUAGCUCCAUGACAGUUUAUGUUUCUUGUGAAAGCAGCCUGCUUAUUG